CGCUGAAAGCAUCUAAGCGCGAAGCCAACUUCAAGAUAAGAUUUCCCACCGCAAGGGUAAGACCCCAGAAAGACUAUCUGGUUGAUAGGUCGAAGGUGUAAGUGCAGCAAUGUAUUUAGCUUAUCGACACUAAUAGGUCGAGGACUUGACCAA
Molecule: ribosomal RNA, 153 nt
Filed under: Clostridioides difficile
Lineage: Bacteria; Bacillati; Bacillota; Clostridia; Peptostreptococcales; Peptostreptococcaceae
Description: partial 23S ribosomal RNA
Rfam family: Bacterial large subunit ribosomal RNA
Source: RNAcentral